Molecule: ribosomal RNA, 405 nt
Filed under: uncultured bacterium
Lineage: Bacteria
Description: partial 16S ribosomal RNA
Rfam family: Bacterial small subunit ribosomal RNA
Source: RNAcentral
AUUGAACGCUAGCGGGAUGCUUUACACAUGCAAGUCGAACGAGUGGCGGACGGGUGAGUAAUAUCUCGGAACUUGCCUAGCCGCGGGGGACAACUAAGCGAAAGAGUGGCUAAUACAUCAUACUUUUGGAGCGGCCGAGAUUGGAUGGGCUAGUUGGUGGGGUAAAGGCUCACCAAGGCAAAGAUCCGUAGCUGGUUUGAGAGGAAGACCAGCCAAACUGGGACUGAGACACGGACCAGACUCCUACGGGAGGCAGCAGUGGGGAAGUUUGGACAAUGGGGGAAACCCUGAUCCAGCCAUGCCGCGUGUAUGAGAAGGCCUGCGGGUUGUAAAGUACUUUUGGCAGAGAAGCGGUAUCUGCAGAAUAAGCACCGGCUAACUACGUGCCAGCAGCCGCGGUAAUUC